RNAcentral lists this ribosomal RNA (450 nucleotides) under uncultured bacterium. Its description in RNAcentral is "partial 16S ribosomal RNA". It matches the Rfam family "Bacterial small subunit ribosomal RNA", at positions 354 to 796 of the family's 1533-position model. The record is from RNAcentral.
GUGGGGAAUAUUGGACAAUGGGCGAAAGCCUGAUCCAGCCAUGCCGCGUGUGUGAAGAAGGUCUUCGGAUUGUAAAGCACUUUAAGUUGGGAGGAAGGGUAGUAACCUAAUACGUUGCUACUUUGACGUUACCGACAGAAUAAGCACCGGCUAACUUCGUGCCAGCAGCCGCGGUAAUACGAAGGGUGCAAGCGUUAAUCGGAAUUACUGGGCGUAAAGCGCGCGUAGGUGGUUCAGUAAGUUGGAAGUGAAAUCCCCGGGCUCAACCUGGGAACUGCUUUCAAAACUGCUGAGCUAGAGUACGGUAGAGGGUGGUGGAAUUUCCUGUGUAGCGGUGAAAUGCGUAGAUAUAGGAAGGAACACCAAAGGCGAAGGCGACUACCUGGACUGAUACUGACACUGAGGUGCGAAAGCGUGGGGAGCAAACAGGAUUAGAUACCCGAGUAGUCC